RNAcentral lists this ribosomal RNA (484 nucleotides) under uncultured bacterium. Its description in RNAcentral is "bacterial SSU rRNA". It matches the Rfam family "Bacterial small subunit ribosomal RNA", at positions 30 to 511 of the family's 1533-position model. The record is from RNAcentral.
AUUGAACGCUGGCGGCAUGCUUUACACAUGCAAGUCGAACGGUAACAGGUCUUCGGAUGCUGACGAGUGGCGAACGGGUGAGUAAUGCAUCGGAACGUGCCCAGUCGUGGGGGAUAACGCAGCGAAAGCUGUGCUAAUACCGCAUACGAUCUAUGGAUGAAAGCGGGGGACCUUAGGGCCUCGCGCGAUUGGAGCGGCCGAUGUCAGAUUAGCUAGUUGGUGGGGUAAAGGCCCACCAAGGCGACGAUCUGUAGCUGGUCUGAGAGGACGACCAGCCACACUGGGACUGAGACACGGCCCAGACUCCUACGGGAGGCAGCAGUGGGGAAUUUUGGACAAUGGGCGCAAGCCUGAUCCAGCAAUGCCGCGUGCAGGAAGAAGGCCUUCGGGUUGUAAACUGCUUUGUACGGAACGAAAAGGCUCUGGUUAAUACCUGGGCUCAUGACGGUACCGUAAGAAUAAGCACCGGCUAACUACGUGCCAG